Molecule: RNA transcript, 1773 nt
Organism: Nematostella vectensis (starlet sea anemone)
Lineage: Eukaryota; Metazoa; Cnidaria; Anthozoa; Actiniaria; Edwardsiidae
Exons: 2
Source: RefSeq, a predicted model, not a curated record
UUCUCAUUGGGAGCCCACAGGCACGCGAUUCUAGCAUUGACCUGCUGGUAUUCUACUGUCUUUGCCAUAAUAUAGUUAUCUAUUAUAACCGCCAUCUCAUAAUGUUCGCGGCAUGUUUGGAAAAAAAAAAUGCUCGACCCGUCUUUAUGCCACUAACUAUUGCGUGACGCGUGACACAGUUUGUUGACAAGAGUUGUGCGCUCUUUUUUCAUUUCCGCUUCAUCACAGGUCAUGUGCAGGCAUCAGUGACUAGAAUGCCAGAAACAUCAGGAAAGCCGACUGCUUUUAGCUGGAAAUCCACGUCCCCCCCUUGCCGAGUGGUACUUUUGAUUUGCAAGGCAGCGGGGAUUUAUCAGGACAAUUUCGCGACGAGAGACCCUUCAAAACUGUCAACUCACGAACUUCAACCUAGUGUAACAAACAACUCCACGUUCGUUUUGUCUCUAGAACUUCAACCAGGGAUCUACCACUUCUUAUUUGAAAUCUAUAUUGAUGAAAAUAAUACUGAGGGACAUUUAAGCUCCUCUACGAUGUAUGACAAAACCUGGCUCGCAUCAGGUCGAGAGGUGAACUAUGUAGAAGUGAACUGCUCUUCGUGGGCCUUACACCGGAAAACUAACCAGCGAAUUUCCCCGGAAACAGAGGAAAAGCCCGAUCAAGGCACUGGCGACACUGUUGCCCUUGUUGAUGACGAGGAGACUCCGUGUUUGUGUCACUGCGUCGUACUAUAAGAAGCAGAGGACGAUUGAUUGCUUUCGCCUUGGUAUGACGUCGAACAAGAGUCAGCUCACCGAAGUCCUUCUUCCUACAGGGAAACGUACUAGCCUAAAUGAGAGUCAACUAGCCUACUAGUUGACUCUCAUUUAGGGUUAAUCGAAUAUGUUGCUUAUACGACCAUUGGGAAUCCUGUGGCGCGAAAAUGAACGAGGAGCACUGGAUCGGGACUUUGCGCUCGCCUCGUACCCUCAUCCCCGGGAACCUCAGCUUUCGCGAGUUCGAAAACAAAACUUUUCCGUAAAACCCGAAAUGAGAGCCGACUAGCAGGCCAAACGUAAGUUGAUAAAGAAACUAAACUUUAUUUGAGAAAGUGGUAUUUACAUUAAGUACGAAAAGCAGUGAUUACUAUAAAAAUAUACCACAUAACCACUGCAAAUAUCAAAAUCGUUAAUUGUCGAUUACAAUGUAACCAGUCAGGAAAAAUCAGGAAAAAAAAAACAUUUUAAGGGGAGUGUUUUACGACCGACCAAUCAGAUUCAAGAUAUUCAAACAGUCACGUUAGGGUUUGAAUUCUCGCUUGUGAUUUGUCAGAAGACAAUAAACAUUUUAUACUAGCGGGUAUCAUUGGGUAUACUUGAUUUUUGAUUUACCAUUAACCAGUGCUUUUCUUAAAAUUAUCUGAAAUUAUCUUAAAAUUAUCAGCUCUAUCGGAAAAAUUUGAUUUUCGCCAUUAUUUAAUUAAGGGGGGAGGGGUGCGCAGUCAUAAGUAUCAUAUGGAAAAAGCACAGUAUUUGAAGAUUCCUUUGGUGGCCAAGGGGGGGGGGGAGUGCACGUCCUGUGUACGCGCCUCGGCAGAAGACGUCAUAUUUUAUACAUCUGAAAUUGAAGGAAAAAAGAAAAUAGAGUGUAAUAACGUCGUUAAAAAUCUUCUUAGCUGUCCUCGAAACCUCGAAAUAAUAUUUGAUUUUUUUUAUUGAUGCAUGAUAGUGAUUAAAGAAUGAAUGUAAUAAAUCGAUCUGGUUUUUUUUAGACAAAUAAAGUUAUUAUGGGUCAGUA